ACUAGUAUGAACGGCACCACGAAGGUUAUACUGUCUCCUUUUUCUAAUCAGUGAAACUAAUCUCCCCGUGAAGAAGCGAGGAUAAAUAUAUAAGACGAGAAGACCCUAUGGAGCUUUAAACCACACAACACCUGCUUCGAUCUAACUACUUCCAGAAAACCCCCACUUACCCAUGCAGGAUGAUUGCCAGUUUUAGGUUGGGGUGACCGCGGAGCACAAAAUAACCUCCACGUUGAAAGGAGCUCCACUCCUUAGCCAAGAGCCACACCUCCCCGCAUCAACAAAAUGACAAUAAUUGACCCAAUAUAUUGACCAACGAACCAAGUUACCCUAGGGAUAACAGCGCAAUCCACUUUAAGAGCCCCUAUCGACAAGUGGGUUUACGACCUCGAUGUUGGAUCAGGGUAUCCCGGUGGUGCAGCCGCUACC
RNAcentral lists this ribosomal RNA (429 nucleotides) under Nymphargus laurae (Laura's glassfrog). Its description in RNAcentral is "partial large subunit ribosomal RNA". It matches the Rfam family "Bacterial large subunit ribosomal RNA", at positions 1986 to 2566 of the family's 2925-position model. Lineage: Eukaryota; Metazoa; Chordata; Amphibia; Anura; Centrolenidae. The record is from RNAcentral.